RNAcentral lists this ribosomal RNA (253 nucleotides) under uncultured prokaryote. RNAcentral's name for it is "partial 16S ribosomal RNA". It matches the Rfam family "Bacterial small subunit ribosomal RNA", at positions 524 to 776 of the family's 1533-position model. The record is from RNAcentral.
UACGUAGGUGGCAAGCGUUGUCCGGAUUUAUUGGGUUUAAAGGGUGCGUAGGCGGUUUAAUAAGUCAGUGGUGAAAUACGGCAGCUCAACUGUCGAGGUGCCAUUGAUACUGUUAGACUUGAGUACAGACGAGGUAGGCGGAAUUGACGGUGUAGCGGUGAAAUGCUUAGAUAUCGUCAAGAACACCGAUAGCGAAGGCAGCUUACUAGGCUGUAACUGACGCUGAGGCACGAAAGUGUGGGGAUCAAACAGG